CUCCAGAGGGAUGCACUUUCU
This 21-nucleotide microRNA is filed under the name Macaca mulatta (Rhesus monkey). Its description in RNAcentral is "mml-miR-525". Its record names the gene mml-miR-525. Lineage: Eukaryota; Metazoa; Chordata; Mammalia; Primates; Cercopithecidae. RNAcentral also lists the same sequence under 4 other names. The record is from miRBase by way of RNAcentral.